RNAcentral lists this ribosomal RNA (1251 nucleotides) under bacterium EBAD51. RNAcentral describes it as "bacterial LSU rRNA". It matches the Rfam family "Bacterial large subunit ribosomal RNA", at positions 1173 to 2493 of the family's 2925-position model. The record is from RNAcentral.
GUACGGGGCUCAGCCAUGAGCCGAAGCUUAGGAUGCCGUAAGGCAUGGUAGCAGAGCGUAGUGUGACAUAGUCUCAUUCCUCCUUCACGUCUUCGGGCGUAUUGGAGGAGAGAGGCUUUCGAUGAAGCCGGCGCGUGAGCGAUCCGGUGGAGAGAUCACUAGUGAGAAUGAUGACAUGAGUAGCGACAAAGAGUGUGAGAGACACUCUCGCCGAAAGUCCAAGGGUUCCUGCUUAAAGCUAAUCUGAGCAGGGUAAGCCGGCCCCUAAGCCGAGGCCGAAAGGCGUAGGCGAUGGGAACUAGGUUAAUAUUCCUAGGCCGUGGAGUGGUGACGGAUCUCAGAGGUAGUUCAUCCUUAUCGGAUUGAAUGGGCUGCUGAGAGGUUCCUGGAAAUAGCCCUCCUAUAAGACCGUACCCUAAACCGACACAGGUGGACUGGUAGAGAAUACCAAGGCGCUUGAGAGAACGAUGUUGAAGGAACUCGGCAAAAUACCUCCGUAAGUUCGCGAGAAGGAGGCCCGGUUCCUAGGCAACUAGGGGCUGGGGGCACAAACCAGGGGGUGGCGACUGUUUAUUAAAAACACAGGGCUCUGCGAAGUCGCAAGACGACGUAUAGGGUCUGACGCCUGCCCGGUGCCUGAAGGUUAAAAGGAGAGGUGAGAGCCUUGAAUUGAAGCCCAGGUAAACGGCGGCCGUAACUAUAACGGUCCUAAGGUAGCGAAAUUCCUUGUCGGGUAAGUUCCGACCUGCACGAAUGGCGUAACGACUUCCCCGCUGUCUCCAACAUCGACUCAGCGAAAUUGAAUUGCCUGUCAAGAUGCAGGCUUCCCGCGGUUAGACGGAAAGACCCCGUGCACCUUUACUACAGCUUCGCACUGGCAUCAGGAUUGUGAUGUGCAGGAUAGGUGGUGGGCUUUGAAGCAGAGACGCAAGUCUUUGUGGAGCCUCCCUUGAGAUACCACCCUUCGCACUCUUGAUGUCUAACCGCGGUCCGUUAUCCGGAUCCGGGACCCUGCGUGGCGGGUAGUUUGACUGGGGCGGUCGCCUCCUAAAGCGUAACGGAGGCGCGCGAAGGUUGGCUCAGAGCGGUCGGAAAUCGCUCGUUGAGUGCAAUGGCAGAAGCCAGCCUGACUGCGAGACUGACAAGUCGAGCAGAGUCGAAAGACGGCCAUAGUGAUCCGGUGGUCCCGAGUGGAAGGGCCAUCGCUCAACGGAUAAAAGGUACGCCGGGGAUAACAGGCUGAUACUGCCC